GUGUAUGCAGAAAGGCGACUGUCCUAGGAGUAUGACCAACCCUCCUUCAAUGCUAGGCUUCGGCCACCUCCUCCUGAAAGCUGUCCUGUCAUCCCCACCCCUACCCCUUAUCAACUCCAGGCUAGAGUGGGAGACCCUUCUUUUUGCUCCUUCUCUGUAGACCCAUAAAUGCCCCUGCAUUUGGAGACCCAUAAAUCUGAUGCCCCUGUGGCAACUGCCAUGCCAUCUGUCAUAUUUAAAUUCUCAGCUCACAUCCUGCCAGCCAGGCCAUGAGCUUUUUUGAGGUUACCAGGUAGUGUUAGUCUCUUCAGUGCUGGCACAUAUUAGGGGUUUAACAAAUGUUUGUUGAUUAAAAGAAGGGAUCCAGAGGGGCCACUUUUCCUCUUCCCAGUGGGAGCUACUGGUUGGCAUUAAAUCAAAGACUGAAGGAAGAGAAGGAAGCCAAACGGGCUCUUUUGGAUGCGAGGCAUAACUACUUAUUUGCAAUUGUGGCUUCCUGUUUGGACCUGAACAAAACCGAAGUGGAGGAUGCCAUUCUUGAAGGGAAUCAGAUUGAAAGAAUUGAUCAACUUUUUGCUGUUGGAGGUCUCCGACACCUCAUGUUUUACUAUCAAGAUGUGGAGGAAGCAGAAACAGGACAACCUGGCUCUCUAGGAGGGGUAAAUCUUGUUUCUGGAAAGAUUAAAAAACCUAAGGUGUUCGUGACCGAGGGAAAUGAUGUGGCUCUUACUGGGGUAUGUGUGUUCUUCAUCAGGACUGACCCUUCCAAAGCCAUCACCCCUGACAACAUCCACCAGGAGGUGAGUUUUAACAUGUUAGAUGCGGCAGAUGGAGGCCUGCUCAACAGUGUGAGACGUUUGCUGUCGGACAUCUUCAUUCCUGCUCUCAGAGCCACGAGCCAUGGCUGGGGCGAGCUCGAGGGACUUCAGGACGCAGCUAACAUUCGCCAGGAGUUCUUGAGCUCCCUGGAAGGCUUUGUGAACGUCCUGUCGGGUGCACAGGAGAGUCUGAAGGAGAAGGUGAACCUUCGAAAGUGUGACAUACUUGAACUGAAAACCCUAAAGGAACCUACAGACUACUUGACUCUAGCAAAUAACCCUGAGACUUUGGGAAAAAUAGAGGAUUGCAUGAAAGUAUGGAUCAAACAGACAGAACAGCAUCUCCAGCCCCAUGCAAUGCCUCGUGUUUUUCCCCACGCAUUUGCAGGUUCUUGCUGAAAACAAUCAGCUGCGGAAGGAAGCGGAUGACGUUGGGCCACGAGCGGAGCUGGAGCACUGGAAAAAAAGACUCUCCAAGUUUAACUACCUUUUGGAACAAUUGAAAAGCCCGGAUGUGAAGGCUGUGCUGGCAGUGCUUGCGGCGGCCAAGUCGAAACUGCUGAAGACUUGGCGGGAGAUGGAUAUUCGAAUCACUGAUGCAACUAAUGAAGCGAAGGACAAUGUGAAAUACUUGUAUACACUUGAAAAAUGUUGUGACCCUUUGUACAGCAGUGAUCCCCUAUCCAUGAUGGAUGCUAUUCCUACACUUAUAAAUGCAAUUAAAAUGAUCUAUAGUAUCUCUCAUUACUAUAAUACCUCUGAGAAGAUCACAUCUCUGUUUGUAAAGGUGACAAAUCAGAUUAUAUCUGCAUGUAAAGCCUAUAUUACCAAUAAUGGAACCGCUUCCAUCUGGAACCAGCCACAGGAUGUUGUUGAAGAAAAAAUACUAUCUGCGAUUAAACUGAAACAGGAAUACCAGCUCUGCUUUCACAAGACAAAACAAAAGCUUAAACAAAAUCCAAAUGCGAAACAAUUUGAUUUUAGCGAGAUGUAUAUUUUUGGAAAAUUCGAAACUUUUCACCAACGCCUUGCCAAGAUAAUAGACAUCUUUACAACCCUCAAGACGUAUUCAGUCCUGCAAGAUUCCACAAUCGAAGGGCUGGAAGACAUGGCCACUAAAUACCAGGGCAUUGUGGCAACCAUAAAGAAAAAGGAAUACAAUUUCCUAGACCAGCGGAAAAUGGAUUUUGACCAAGAUUACGAAGAGUUUUGCAAGCAGACUAAUGACCUUCAUGUAGGUUGUAUAAUAAAAUUCCUGUUGAC
Molecule: small RNA, 2081 nt
Filed under: Pan troglodytes (chimpanzee)
Lineage: Eukaryota; Metazoa; Chordata; Mammalia; Primates; Hominidae
Description: retained intron
Source: RNAcentral